AGGGUUCAUUCAGGAACAAGAAAUUGGAUCACCCCCCCCCCCGGAGAUGAAGCCCUUCCUUCAACUGGCAUGAAGGGGUGCGGGUCAUGAGUGCAAUCUCAUCCCAAAUAGGGGACUAGAGAGACUAGAUAAGGAGAUCCCCUUUCCCCAUACCGAUUCAUCUGGAUGGCCAAAGUCUCUUCACCACUGCUCGAGAUGUGCAGGUCAGUCGUGGGCCUCAGGUUGAAGAUGUGCAGCUUGGUAGAGCAUUUACCAAAACAGGUUCUUUAUUCAAGCAAGAAUGUAUUCAACAAUCGUCUUAGGGAUACCCGAAGCAAGGAAGAAAGGAGACUGAAAGGCUAUUUGACCUGCCUUGUCGAAAGCGCAUCUCAGUAUAAGCAGCAUAAGCAGCAAAGAGAGAGUGAGCUGGCGCGAAAGCCUUUGCGGCUUUCUUGCUUGGAAGAGCGCGCGGCGCGCGAAAGCCAUUGCUGCUUUCUUGCUAGAAGAGGGCUAAAAGCCAAGAGCUGACCACUGCCUUACAGAUUAAAUUCUCGCUCAUGCUUUCACCCUUUAUAUUGACUCUAGACAAGCUGCCUUACUCAUUUCCCUUGCUCGUAUGGUCCUUCCUGCUAAUCGAGAACUCAGGAAGAGCCUUUUUCUUCUGUGGAAACUACUCUGCCCUAGUCCAUCUCCCCUGUAUCCAGGGAGUGAUGACUUCUGCUAGGAUUGGUUUCGAAUCAAGAGGAUUUGGGGCUCUCGAUCCCAAUACAUCCGCUAUUAUGCCCUCACCCCUACGAAAGGAAGGGGAUAGAAUGAAUUAAGAGGGAGAAGAAAAGAUUGCGACAGAAAAAAUCGGUGAUUGAUCAUCACAAACCAAAACGUCCCACUCACACGGGUCUGAAAGCUUUUCAGUGGACGGUCACGGUGGUUCAAACCCCGAUUUUAUCCCCCCACCCCGUUCAGAGAAGCAGAAUGAGCUACAUGCACACAAAUCCAGGAUUUCUGCUUUUCUGACUUGAGACAUUCAUAAUGAAUAUUUUGUUUGAAUGAGCCUUUUUUUCUUUUUAUAAAUGCAUUUAAUAAUAUAUAGAGGAGAAAGGUUCUAUUCCGGCAUCAAACAUCAUAGAACUUUUCCACAAUAUCAUCGUCCAGCCUAUGGACCCGAAAUCCUUUAGGCACUCCCCUUCAAUGCACCAGCAAGCGUACGGGCUAUUUUAGGGCUUCUUAUAUAUUAGGAAGUCGCUCAUUUUUCUUUUCAUUUCUUAUGAGAAGAAAGAGAGUCCGGACUUGAUUUCCAGGAAGUUGUUGAUUUGACUGGUAGUGCCCGGUGGACAAG
RNAcentral lists this long non-coding RNA (1315 nucleotides) under Amborella trichopoda. Its description in RNAcentral is "long non-coding RNA (ATRI_LNC000679)". The record is from RNAcentral. Lineage: Eukaryota; Viridiplantae; Streptophyta; Magnoliopsida; Amborellales; Amborellaceae.